This 499-nucleotide unclassified non-coding RNA is filed under the name uncultured eukaryote. Its description in RNAcentral is "partial contains ITS1, 5.8S rRNA, and ITS2". The stretch from base 150 to 297 matches the Rfam family "5.8S ribosomal RNA". The record is from RNAcentral.
AGAUGGAUCAUUAACACAAUUAACAAACCUUAACUUAUGUACUUUCAAAGAGAACUUCGGUUUUCUUUGAGGUUUUAUUGUCACACCUGGUGUGAAUAAAAAUUUUUCAUAUGCCUAAGAUCUGGAUAACAUCCAAAAAACGAAAAGAAAAUUUUCAACGGUGGAUAUCUAGGUUCCCGUGACGAUGAAGAACGCAGCGAAAUGCGAUACGCAAUGCGAAUUGCAGAACCGCGAGUCAUCAGAUCUUUGAACGCAAGUGGUGGAGGUGUAAAAACCUUCAUGUUUGUUUCAGUGUGGAAAGGAAUCACGCAUCUUAAUGCGAUUGAAGCAAUGCAAGAAGCUUCUCUCGUUAAACGUGAUGGGUGGUCGAGCAAUCGCCGCCAGAACGAAGUAGUCACAUUCGUGUAAUGUGAACAUUCGUCCAGGCAUAAAGGCGAAUGCUCACUAUGCUACUCAUAGAAAUUUAUUUUUUCUCACAACACCUGAAACAGGCAAGAUU